UAUUCUAACUGUACAAAGGUAGCAUAAUCAAUWGUUUUUUAAUUAAAAGCUGGAAUGAAGGAUUUAAUAAGGUAAAUAUUGUCUCMMUUUUAAUAAGGUUAAAAUUUUUUUUUUAGUAAAAAUACUAAAUUGAAUUUGAAAGACGAGAAGACCCUMUAGAUUUUUAUAUUUUUAUUUUAAUUAAUUUAAAUAAAAAUUUUUUUUAGAUGAAAAGAUAUUUGAUUGGGGUAAUUAUUAAAUUAAUUGAAUUUUAAUUAUUUUUUAACAAAAAUUAUUGAAUAUAUGAUCUUGAAUUUUUGAAUUAAUAGAAUAAAUUACCUUAGGGAUAACASCGUAAUUUUUUUUGAGAGAUCUUAUUGAUAAAAAAGUUUGCRACCYCSAUGYUGAAUUAAGAUAAAAUUUUAA
This 405-nucleotide ribosomal RNA is filed under the name Buathra excavata. RNAcentral's name for it is "partial 16S large subunit ribosomal RNA". Lineage: Eukaryota; Metazoa; Arthropoda; Insecta; Hymenoptera; Ichneumonidae. The record is from RNAcentral.